GGGAUUUAUGCAGGAAGUCACAUACAUUUUCUUUUUCUAGUGGGUUGGCAAACCAAACCACUGAGCAGAAUAAUUGUGCCUGAAGCACAUUAUAAGCAAAAGAUUAGAGUCAAGUAUUCAGUUUAGAUUGUAAUUGAAGUUGUUCACCUGGUUCUUAGAAUAUCAGAAUUUCCUGCAGCUGCCUAUUCCUGAAGAUUCUCCAAUAAAAUAUGGAGUUGUUUCCCAGGACCCAGUGUGUAGCUGUUCCAAUCUAAUAAAAGUGCAAAUUAUUUCAGAGGCAUUGAAAUCAACCCAGAGCAGCUCCAUGCUUAAUGAGAUGGCAGCUGGUAUGGGCUUACUUUGUGCUUUCUUGAAUGUGGACUUCGAGUCAAAGGGAACAGUUUUUACUAUUAAAUGAGCUGCUAUCUGCUGCAGCUUUCAAGAUAUAACCUCUAUUUCAGUUUAUAGUGUAGUAGUUCAUGAUGGAAUUCAACGCGGCCCCCUAGUGCUGCAAUCAUAAAUAGUGUCUUAUCUUUAUAUAUGCUUUCUAAUAUUUUAACAUUCUAAUUGUAGCAUGCUCAUCCCAGUCCUGUGAGGCUGGCUUUUCUUACUACCAUCUAAUAAAAUGUGAAAAUUGACCAUUUAGCAAAAGACUGUACAGAGACUUUAAAUGUGAGUCUCAAGUUCUAAAUUCAUUUAUUUUAUUCACAAUUAGCAUGCAUGCAGGUAAUUGGUUUAACCCAACCCUCCAAGAUUUGUACUUGAUUGCAGUCUGCCAUUUAGGAGACCACUUGAUCAAGCUCACUUGAUACAGUGGUACCUCGGGUUAAGUACUUAAUUCGUUCUGGAGGUCUGUUCUUAACCUGAAACUGUUCUUAACCUGAAGCGCCACUUUAGCUAAUGGGGCCUCCCACUGCCACCGCGCUGCCAGAGCACGAUUUCUGUUCUCAUCCUGAAGUAUAGUUCUUAACCCAAGGUACUAUUUCUGGGUUAGCGGAGUCUGUAACCUGAAGCAUAUGUAACCUGAAGUGUAUGUAACCCGAGGUACCACUGUAUAUGGUUUUUGGGAGUUUGGCAUACAGAGUCCCCAGGUUCAAGCUCCAGGUUUUUUGUUUUAUUGCUGCUUAUGCAGUUACAAUUGUAUUGUCUCCUGGAUCACAUUGAAAGGGGCAUACUUAAAAUGGAACUACCAAGAGCUCCCCCCACACACUGAUAUUAACACCCAAGAGGGACUAUAGAGAAGGAGGCAGUAUUUCAGAUAUUUGGGGCCUAAGUAAUUUAUGGCUUUAAGAUUAGCAUGUUUUAACACUCACUUUAAACAAUGCAUACUUCAAAAAAAGGAUGUGUGGAACUGUUAUUUAAAUAUUAAAGGUAAUGAGCAAAAUAGGAUAAUGAAAUCAGAAUAACAUCUAUAAUAGUUAUUUCAUAAGUGAAUGGCUGAAUGACGUGUAGCUCAUUAAAAUAAAUACUGGCAUAUGUUGUGACAUUAAACCACACUGAGGUAAAACCUUCUUUCUUGAUCUCUUCAUUUGUCAGACAUCGUUUAUUUGUUAAUCUCUUGAGGAGGGCUGUUUGGUCCCAGUUGUCUUUUGUUGUUCCAGAAAGAUCUUUCCAGUGUCUGAUUCUGUUGUGCCUCGCUGCUUGUAAUAAAUAGCUUAUUAAUUCUUCAUUAUGUAAAUCCAGGUGGUUGUCUUGAAAUAUAUUUAAUAAAGCUAAUUCUGGUUUGACUUCCAAUUGUUUCAUUAUUUUAUUGAAUUCUUAGAGUAUCAAAUUCUAGAAAGUCUAGGUUUUGUACGUUCCCACCACUUGUAGAUAUGUACUGUGUAGGGCAGCCCCUCCAACAACAUGAUGGGUAACCAGGAUGGCUCAUGGCCAGUUUCCAAGGUUUAGGUACCACCUAUAUAUGAGUUUUAGGGUUAAUUCUCUAUUGCUUGCCUAAAUAGACUUUAAGGGGGGGGUGUUGGUCCAAAGUCUAUUAGUGUGGAUUUGGUUGGGGAGUACCCAAGGAGGUUGUAAGUUUCCUUACAAGGAAGUUUAUAUAGUGAUUUAUUUCUGUUAUAAAAGUCAUAUAACUUGUAUAGACUCUCCCCCCCCCUCCAUCCAGCCACAUCAAAUUGUUGUGAAGUGUUGUGAAAUAGUGGGUCUCAGUGGGGACAGUGGAUCUUGGAUGGUAUAUUAAAGCAUAAAGUCUCAGAAGUUAACCUGGAGGCCUGAGCAUGUUGAAAGUUGUUAAGCUCUCGAAGUAUUGCUGCUUCUGUGUUCAGUAGGUCAGAAUCAUUAAAUUAUCAGCACAUAGAUCAGUCAUAAAGUUUUGUUUUCCAGUUUGGGCUCCAUUAAUGUCUGGUGUUGUUCUGAUGCACAUAGCUCUUGGUUCUAAAGCUAGUAUGAACAAAAAGGGAGUUCCCUAUCCAAUUUGAAACCAUACUGGACUCUGCUUAGCCUUGCAAAUGUGCUAGCGCCAUAAAACUGCUAAGUUUUUUAUGCACUGUAGUAAAGAGAGAGAUCUUUUGUUUCAUCAAAAUUCUGCCAAAGACACAAAAAGAAAAUAAUUGUGCAUUUUAUGCAUCUCAUGGUUCUAUACUUUUUGAAACGAUUGUUUGUUGUCAGUGUACACUGUGAACCCCUAGAAACAUGAUUCAGGAGUGGUAUAGAAUUUUUUUUAAGAUAAAUAAAUAAUGUUCAGAACAUGUUGGGUAUUAUUUAGUACAGAUCACUGGGAGAAGCAUUCCCCCCCCCCCCCCAGAUGCUCCUCUGAUUUCUGCUAUACAUAAGCAAAUCAAUAAACAUCAUAAAUGUUUAUUCACUUAUUUGUUCAGUGUUGUCUGUAUUACCUAUGAGCCUUUGUGUUUUCAGUUAUAAUAGCUGUUCCAGUAAAAGGCAAUGAAACAGUAGGAAGAAUCAGGAGAUUUCAUUGUUUUCAACAGAAGCAGGAGGGAAGCAGCUCUUCCCUCAUCCCCACUAAAAUAUUCUCUCCAGCAGUUUUGCAGUUCAGCCCUUCUGGCUGCUUGCUGUAAGAGAAAAUCAGAACUAAUUGGAAGCAGUGGGAUGUGAGUGGAACUAAUAGAGGUAGCUGCUCUCCAAAUUAUCCAGUAGGACUUUGCAAGGCAUUGAAAAUAGGCAUCAAGACCUUACCUGAGCAGCCAAGAAGAAGGAAAUGUUCCUACUGUGAAUUAUGCUGCUUCUGUGUUGCUACUGUUUCAUCUUUGGCAAAUGUUAAAAUAAGGAAUUAGAAAAUUGAGAGUACAUGUGAAUUUAUUACCUUGCUCCUUCCAGUAAUAAAAUGAGUGACUUGAUCACUAUAACUUAGUCAUAACUCUUUUAUUAAGGAUUAUCUGCUUAGUAUGUAUUUAAAAUGAACCCAACAUAGUUUAUUUCCCCAACCAUUCAGACUGCUAAGCCCUUAGAGAGAAACAAAGGUGUUUGUGUUUUGGUGACCCCAGCAAAGUCUAGGUCACUUGUCCUACUUCAGGGGACAAGGAUGCCUGGAGUCCCAGUCCACUUGCAAGAUGAUCCAGAGAGUGAGGUCAGGUCAUGCUCCAAAGUCAGGGGCUUUUUGUGGGGGAGGGGUUUCAAUUAAAUAGGCAAACUCCAGUUAAAGUACAAGGUCACACACAGGGAAGUCAGGUUCACAGCAAAGGAGCACAGUAAGUCAAGGAGCUGGAGUAAGGAAAUGGUUCCAACCUCUUUCCCCAGUGACUGAAGGCUUUUAUCCAGGAACCUUCCAAGCUCCAUACAAUCACACUAGACUUAUUAAAAAGAUGUUGCUUAUUACAAGAAAGUAUACAUAGAGUAAUUUCACAGUGAUAGAUGUGGGAAGCAUAUGAUCAUAUAUAAAAUCACAGCUGUACGUGACUCAGAUAUUCACACUCCUGAUCUAAGAAACUAAGACCCUAGCAGUAGCAAAAGUGGGUGAGGUUCACAUUAGUUAUUGCCUUGGAAGGUGGAGAUAGAAACAAAAUAAUAACUUUUCCCUGUUCUCCUGAGCAGUCCCACAAUGGAGUGAAUAGAAAGGUGAUCAGAACCCAAGGCCUGUGAAAGCUAGGUUCUCCCCAUUGAACGAUUAGGCAGUAGAAAUCUCAGUCCUCCUUACUCCAAUGUCCAAUGGAGCAUUACAGUUGUUCCUUGAGAGUGCCGUUGAUUAUGUCGAAGAUUGUUGGAGCCACUAUGUGCUAGUUAAACUACUCAAAACAUCAAUUGUGAAUUAAAUUUUGCAUCUCGGGUGUGCAUGUAAAAUAGGAGCAGCAGUAAUGGUGUGAAAUGGGAAAAUAAAUUAUUCUUUUUGAACUAAAAGUUGGUAACUUUGCUGCCGGAUGUGCCUAAUGAUUGCCAUCUUGUGUCCAUGAGCUAUCUAGUGUUAAGUUUCUGCAUUUGGAGUAAAUAACCUUUGCCUUGCUAAUUCUAAAAUGGCAUAAAUUUUGUCUGGGCUAGCAUCAGUGUCCGUUUAGAGAAAAUAUGUUCUCUGUGGGAACUGACAGUUAUUAGUUUGGGAGUUUUUCCGAGUAUCACAUGGAUGACUUAUCAAUACUUUCAAUUUAUAGAGUCAGGAAGAGUCGCAAGCAAGAGUAAGGGUCACAGAGGGGCUGAUAUCACAAUGCAACACAAGUAAGACUGAUUCCUUGUUCCAUCAGAAUGAACCAAAGAAAAGUCAAGUCAUACACUCUCCCAUUACAGCAGACAGCAGUGAGACCUGAUCUCUGAAGUUAUGGGAUUAAAAAUUAGUUGGGUUAGAUUAAAAAAGAAAUCAAUGCAAUGUCUCCCAAAGGCGAUGAAAGGUUGUAUCACAAUGUGAUUCUAAGGACACAGAUGGCAGGGAAAGUAGAAAUGGAAGGGUUGGAGCAAUGUACAGACGCAUAUGACUUUUUCAUUUCCUUUAUUUAAAUCUCUUUACCCACCAUGUUUGAGCUGCCCUUUCCUUGUCUUUAGAGUCUAAUCCAUACAUCAUUUAGUUCUUCAACAAUUUUAUUUGAAAUCACAAUAGCUUCUAAGAUUUCAGGGAUCAUCUUUGAAAGGCUCUUCUUUUAGCUUUCACCUGUCAGCAUUUGCUUCUUUUUCUGGAGAUGUGUUUCAUCUUCUGUUAUCUUUUUAAAAUGGUGUUCGAUCCUGGAAAUGUUUUAGCAAUAUUCAUAGGCUUAUCACUGCAGGAGAGAGAUACAAUUUUAUCUAUCUUUUCUCAUCAAGUCAUUAACAUGAAACUCUGCAAUGUAAUCAUACCAAACUGGAAUUGAGGUCAUGCCAUAGACUGGUUGGAAAAGAGGCUUGAUGACAUGAUGAUGUAUAGCCAUUUCACAACAAAGCUUUUAACACAUAAUAUCUGCCCCUUAAUUGCAUUUAACAUUUCAUUGAAAAGAUGUUAUCAUUAUGGAAAUUGCUGUGUAAAUGUUGUUGAGAUAAACCCCCCAAAAUGUUAUACUGAUGGACUAGGAGAAGAAAAGAGCAUUUUCACUGCAAUAGGAAAUACAUAAUGGUGACAUACUUUAUUUUGUUUUCCUGGGACUUCUUAUGAGGCAAUGUUGCAUUCUAUGGUAUUUUUUUUAGUCAUUGUUGGGGGGAAUCUUUAAUCUGCAGCUCUUGAUAUAUUUCUUAUGACUCUAGGCAAACAGUAAGUUAAAUUCACCCGUUUUUUGUUGCAUACAUUGUCCUAAAAUACACUUUCUCCUGGCAUGCAUUUUUUGAGAUUAUAUUAUGUUGGUUAAGAUUUAUGUUAUAUGUUAACAUUAUAUCAUACAAAUGUUGAUAUCUUUUACAGAGCAGAAGAAAAAAUGUUUUUAGUCAAGUGAUUUGAAAGGCCUACAAUAUAUCUUUCUUCUCAUAAAACAAAAGAUUCUCUUGCGCUAAACAUAGCUUGCUAAAAUGAAGAACAAUAAAGUAUCAGAUAAAGCAGCUCUAGAAUGAAUUUUUGUACAGCCUGCAUGUUGAUGUGGGCUACAGCUAUAUCUAGAUUAACUUUUUGUUUUGUUUUUUACUGAGUUUGCAUUGUGUUUGAGAGUAUAAUUUCAGAGAAGUGCUAGUAGGCAUUUUAUGCAUUUUCCUGAAAUCUGUUAUUUGAGCAUUGUGGCCACUGCUAUUCAACGAUGAGCUCAGUGUCUUCUGCUCCACUUACAAUUUAAUUCCAGGCAUAUCAGCAAAAUCCUGUGGCCCCUAGGGACACUCUCUCAAGGACCAUAAGAAUGCAUUCUUCAUAAAUUAAAAUCAAUUAAUAAAUUUAAGGAUCAUUCAUUUAUUUUGGAAUGACUCAACAGAUAAUUGCAGUGCAUAGAGAAGCUGGUGUAUAGAUAUACCGUAUAGACAAACAGCUUUGAGAAGAGACUUGCUAACAAAGCCAAAGAGGACCCAAUAGGAAAUAUACAUUUGCGAGAAACGCUCAGUGGGACAAACUGAAAAGUUAAGUCUCCUUAGAAACUUGAUGAGAAUCAGGCACACCCAACCUCUCUGGAUGGUACUUAGUCAGCAUGAAUAUUCCAGAGCAGAUGUAACUCACUCAUACAUUUUAAAUGAAAAAUAGCUGCAGAGCCCUUGAUAAUAAAUACUGGUGUCAUUGUUUCCUUUCAGUCUUAAUGCCUUUGUUUAUGUUUAUACAUAAGGCUAAUCAGUUAAAUAAUUUAGAUGAUUGAUUGAUCAAGCCAUCAUAUUUGAACCAAUUUAUCAAAUUUAGUAGCAAUGCCUAUUUAUUUAUUUACAGAAGUGCAAAAUAGCUUAUAAUUCAAUAAACAAAAGCUAUCACUUUGUUUAAUACCUUAUUUUACCUUCUCUGUUCCAACACAAUAGAACCACUAAUUAAUUGGAAAAGCUUUAGUUGAAUUAUUUUACCAGUUUAAACUGAGUUAAGCAUGCAUCUCUAAUUAUACUCUUAUCUCAUAUACGGCACACAGUUCUUCUAAAUGUAGUAUUAGAAGUGCCUUUCAUCCUCUUUAAUAUUAAAAAAAUGAAAUUGAUUGAUCAGCCUCAUGGGUAUUGUCAGAAAAUAAUUAAGGUGUGCUGCCAUAUGUCACUUUUCAUAUAGUCCUUAUAAUAUGUGAUUUGACAUCAAUUACUUUCUUAUUUCUGAUAAGCUAUCCUGCAAAUCAGUGACACUCUGGUGGGAAAAAUUCCAGAACUACAUGACUUAUGUGUUCCAGAAUAAAACACAGGUAACAGACACCUGGGGACUUUGUUUAGGAUGUCUAUUAGUGAAGCAAGCUAGUGUACCACCUUCAGUAUCACAGAUAAUAUGCCUUUGAAUGCAGGUUGCUAGGGAGCACAAGUUGAGAGGGUACUCUUGGAAUCAUGUCUCUUUGUGCAGACUUCCCAUAGGCAUCUGGUUAGCAUUGAGAAUGCUGUAUAGUUUUCUAGAGAAAAUGACAUAGCGUAUGUCUUGCCACAAAGCUCCACAAAGCUUAACUGUUCUUCCUUGUAAUAAAAAACAACAACAACCCUUUAAUUAAGAGGAAAAUAUGUGGAUUGUAUCAUUAUAAGAUGGAAUCACUAGGUGGCACUGGAGUUGGUUGGUUUUGGAUGGACUUAGAAGAUUCCUGUUCCUCUUCUUUUUAAGAAAGACAAUAAAGGUCUUGUUCAGCCACUGAUUGAUUAGCAGAGGAGGGCCAUAGCUAUCAGGUCAACUAUAAGUAGUACAUAAACAUUCUGAGAAUGAAUUUUGUAUGACGGUGAUUUUCCUUUUUCCUCAGUGUAGCUAGUGUUAAUGGAUUUUCAUGUGGUCAGAUUUAUGUGUGACCAUGUUCUGAAAAAGUUAUUUGUUAAUGCAUUUUUUAUGUUUGGGUUUCCCUGGAGAGUUUCACACUUGCCACAACAUCUAGCUAAAAAAGCUUUGCUGGGCCUCAUUAAUCUUGAUGUAGAAUCUUUUUCAAAGAAGUAACAGCAUUUUGUGUAAUUUUAUCUUGAGAUUAGUCUGAAGUGACUGAGGGUGUGAAUGUAUUUUGUCUCGCUGUCGUUGUUGCUGCUUUUAUAAAGCCUCAAAUAUUGCUCCAAUAGGUUGUACAGUUUAGACUUAGAGUGGUUGCUGACAAGCCAGUGAGGUGGCAUCCAAAGUGAUGCACUUACCACAAGGUGAUUUUUCAGGCCUGGUGACAUUUGAUUUGAAUGUCCUAUUGUAAAAGCCCCAGUUGAUAUAUUCCCAAAGUGGUGCUUUGCUUGCAUGUUUGAACAUAUAUCUGUGGAAGGCCACAGCACAGAUAGAAUCUUGUAUGAAGUGUAAUCUCUGUGCAAAGGCCUGGCUCCCAUGUUUCUUCCCCCUCAAAGAGGAGAGCGGAAAGGUGACAUGAACCAGGCCUCUGCACAGUCUUACCUCUGAGUGAGUCACCCGCUAUACAUGCUUACUCAAAAAUAAUCUCCACUCAUUUUGAUGGGACUUGUGCUCAGGUGAACAUGCAACUUAAAGAAGUGAAGAGUUACCACAUGAAAAAAUGUUCAUUAUUUCAUUGACAUUUAUAAAGCCUGCAGCAUUGUACUGACUGAGAGAUGAAAAGAAAUACUGUGAUGCUCUUUGUUCUAUACUUUGAGGUCACACCUGAGAGGGGGUUUUUAAAUAUCCAGUUGGUCUUUCAGCUGAGGGAGGAGUUAUUAAAUAAUCUCAGCUAAAUUUCCCCUCAGAUUUUGGGAUUCCAGAUUACCUCAACUAGUUUCUGAAGUGCAUUAAUGAUCCAGCACUCUUCCAUUAUUAUUAUUUUAUUUUUGGACUGAGUUCAGGAUGCUAUGCAUGUACAGCUUGACACAGGUUCCCAUCCCCCUCAAUAAGAGCAAUUUACACGAACACAUAUUUGUUCUCUGCAAUUUAAUCAGUGUAUGCAUGAAGUUGCUUCAAGAGUCCUCAGUGUUGUAGUCAACACUGUGUUGUGUAAGCAGUAAGGGGUUGAGGCAGACAUGAAUGGAAAAUUGUAGCAAACUGGACAUAAGCCAAUUUGAAAGCAGGCGGAGCAAAAUGUGGAGAAGAGUCACCACAAAGAACAGUAUCAAAAUUAAAGGGAGGACAUCCGUUUAUGUUCUUUUGCUAGUGCAAAUGUUUAUAGAGUUGAACCAAAACUCUACCAUAUAGGCAUGCUUAGCUAUAUUUGCAUCAACCUUGAAGAUAUGUCGUUUAUAUGGUAGCAGUUCACUUCUACAGUGCACACAGAACCUUUGACUUUGGAGGUUGUCACAGUAGUCUGCAAAUCAAAUAUU
Non-coding RNA from Podarcis lilfordi (Lilford's wall lizard), 9129 nucleotides. NCBI's taxonomy places the organism in Eukaryota, Metazoa, Chordata, Lepidosauria, Squamata, Lacertidae. The record is from the annotation of a GenBank genome assembly.